CUUAGUAGCGGCGAGUGAAGCGGCAAAAGCUCAAAUUUGAAAUCUGGCUCUUUCAGAGUCCGAGUUGUAAUUUGAAGAAGGUAUCUUUGGGUCUGGCUCUUGUCUAUGUUUCUUGGAACAGAACGUCACAGAGGGUGAGAAUCCCGUGCGAUGAGAUGAUCCAGGCCUAUGUAAAGUUCCUUCGAAGAGUCGAGUUGUUUGGGAAUGCAGCUCUAAGUGGGUGGUAAAUUCCAUCUAAAGCUAAAUAUUGGCGAGAGACCGAUAGCGAACAAGUACAGUGAUGGAAAGAUGAAAAGAACUUUGAAAAGAGAGUGAAAAAGUACGUGAAAUUGUUGAAAGGGAAGGGCUUGAGAUCAGACUUGGUAUUUUGUAUGUUACUUCUUCGGGGGUGGCCUCUACAGUUUAUCGGGCCAGCAUCAGUUUGGGCGGUAGGAGAAUUGCGUUGGAAUGUGGCACGGCUUCGGUUGUGUGUUAUAGCCUUCGUCGAUACUGCCAGCCUAGACUGAGGACUGCGGUUUAUACCUAGGAUGUUGGCAUAAUGAUCUUAAGUCGCCCGUCUUGAAACACGGACC
RNAcentral lists this ribosomal RNA (572 nucleotides) under Candida tropicalis. RNAcentral describes it as "partial large subunit ribosomal RNA". It matches the Rfam family "Eukaryotic large subunit ribosomal RNA", at positions 79 to 667 of the family's 3401-position model. The record is from RNAcentral. Lineage: Eukaryota; Fungi; Ascomycota; Pichiomycetes; Serinales; Debaryomycetaceae.